CGGCGGACGGGUGAGUAACGCGUGGGUAACCUGCCUCAUACAGGGGGAUAACAGUUAGAAACGACUGCUAAUACCGCAUAAGCCCACGGGUCGGCAUCGACCUGAGGGAAAAGGAGCAAUCCGCUUUGAGAUGGCCUCGCGUCCGAUUAGCUAGUUGGUGAGGUAAUGGCCCACCAAGGCGACGAUCGGUAGCCGGACUGAGAGGUUGAACGGCCACAUUGGGACUGAGACACGGCCCAG
RNAcentral lists this ribosomal RNA (240 nucleotides) under uncultured bacterium. RNAcentral's name for it is "partial 16S ribosomal RNA". It matches the Rfam family "Bacterial small subunit ribosomal RNA", at positions 96 to 334 of the family's 1533-position model. The record is from RNAcentral.